RNAcentral lists this ribosomal RNA (266 nucleotides) under uncultured bacterium. RNAcentral describes it as "partial 16S ribosomal RNA". It matches the Rfam family "Bacterial small subunit ribosomal RNA", at positions 793 to 1055 of the family's 1533-position model. The record is from RNAcentral.
GUCCACGCUGUAAACGAUGGGUACUAGGUUUCGUGGGAAUUGACCCCUGCGGAACCGGCGCUAACGCAAUAAGUACCCCGCCUGGGAAGUACGGUCGCAAGACUAAAACUCAAAGGAAUUGACGGGAGCCCGCACAAGCGGUGGAUUAUGUGGUUUAAUUCGAAGCAACGCGCAGAACCUUACCUAGGUUUGACAUCCUUUGACAACUAGAGAGAUCUAGCUUUCAUAGCAAUAUGACAAAGUGACAGGUGCUGCAUGGCUGUCGU